Molecule: unclassified non-coding RNA, 20 nt
Filed under: Chlamydomonas reinhardtii
Lineage: Eukaryota; Viridiplantae; Chlorophyta; Chlorophyceae; Chlamydomonadales; Chlamydomonadaceae
Description: small RNA Cre_3543
Source: RNAcentral
UGUCUCAAAGCCUUAUAGGG